GUUUCUGUAGUGUAGUGGUUAUCUCAUUCGCUUUACGCGCGGACCCAACCGUCCUGGUUCGAAACCGGGCGAAGCA
Merluccius polli (Benguela hake) is the source of this 76-nucleotide non-coding RNA. The record is from the annotation of a GenBank genome assembly. Lineage: Eukaryota; Metazoa; Chordata; Actinopteri; Gadiformes; Merlucciidae.